ACCAAAGUUAUCAACAUUAACUUGCUCCAGCUGAUGGCUUUUCUUCAACAUCCACCAGGGCUACACAAGGGAACCUUCUCCCUACUGUCCUGGGGAAAAUAAAGCUGAAUGUCACCUUCUGCUUUCUCUUGCCUCUCCUCUUCAUAGCUCUCCUUUCAGUGCAGGUCUAACCUAAUUCUGCUUAGUUUGUAAAGCUUGACAAGAUCACCGCUCGAGGUGCUAAGUUUGUAAGUGCAAACAUGUCUAAGAGGGCAGCUCACCUUGCACUCGCUCUCUUGCAGCCUGAGGACAUCAGAUGUGGGUUCAUGAGGGCAGCUGUGGUAAAACAUUCCCUAGAUCCCUGCUGUAAGCUUGGGAAGAACAGACUGUGGAGAACAAAUCACAGGCCAGCUGGAAUAUAGGAACUGAGCAGAAGAGCCUCACCCAAUCCAGAUGAAGAUGUCAUUGCAAGGAUAUUCACAACAGAUUUUCACCACCAGUGGCAACAAGAAACUCCAUCUGUUUGAAAGAUUUGACUCCUCACAUCUGCUCUCCUGGGCCAAGAUCCCAAUAAACUGUUCUUCUCUUCAAGAAACAGUGUCCAUGAGUGUCUGUGUAAUGUCCAUGAGUGUAUGUGAACAGAGGUGCUACAAAAAUGUUAAGUAUCCAGAAGGGUCGAUCCAUGGGCAUAACACACUGGGCUCUCAAAGCUGAUAGUG
Molecule: long non-coding RNA, 698 nt
Organism: Vidua chalybeata
Lineage: Eukaryota; Metazoa; Chordata; Aves; Passeriformes; Viduidae
Exons: 4
Source: RefSeq, a predicted model, not a curated record